GACGAACGCUGGCGGCGUGCUUAACACAUGCAAGUCGAACGGAAAGGCCCUGCUUUUGUGGGGUGCUCGAGUGGCGAACGGGUGAGUAACACGUGAGUAACCUGCCCUUGACUUUGGGAUAACUUCAGGAAACUGGGGCUAACCCCGGAUAGGAGCUCCUGCUGCAGGGUGGGGUUGGGAAAGUUUCGGCGGUUGGGGAUGGACUCGCGGCUUACCAGCUUGUGGGGGGGGUAGUGGCUUACCAAGGCUUGGACGGGUAGCCGGCCUGGGAGGGUAACCGGCCACAUUGGGACUAAGAUACGGCCCAGACUCCUACGGGAGGCAGCAGUGGGAAAUAUUGCACAAUGAGCGGAAGCCUGAUGCAGCAACGCCGCGUGCGGGAUGACGGCCUUCGGGUUGUAAACCGCUUUCGCCUGUGACGAAGCGUGAGUGACGGUAAUGGGUAAAGAAGCACCGGCUAACUACGUG
Molecule: ribosomal RNA, 468 nt
Filed under: uncultured bacterium
Lineage: Bacteria
Description: partial 16S ribosomal RNA
Rfam family: Bacterial small subunit ribosomal RNA
Source: RNAcentral